Molecule: ribosomal RNA, 506 nt
Filed under: uncultured bacterium
Lineage: Bacteria
Description: partial 16S ribosomal RNA
Rfam family: Bacterial small subunit ribosomal RNA
Source: RNAcentral
GAUGAACGCUGGCGGCAGGCCUAACACAUGCAAGUCGAACGGUAACAGGAAACAGCUUGCUGUUUCGCUGACGAGUGGCGGACGGGUGAGUAAUGUCUGGGAAACUGCCUGAUGGAGGGGGAUAACUACUGGAAACGGUAGCUAAUACCGCAUAACGUCGCAAGACCAAAGAGGGGGACCUUCGGGCCUCUUGCCAUCGGAUGUGCCCAGAUGGGAUUAGCUAGUAGGUGGGGUAACGGCUCACCUAGGCGACGAUCCCUAGCUGGUCUGAGAGGAUGACCAGCCACACUGGAACGGAGACACGGUCCAGACUCCGACGGGAGGCAGCAGUGGGGGAUAUUGCACAAUGGGCGCAAGCCUGAUGCAACCAUGCCGCGUGUAUGAAGAAGGCCUUCGGGUUGUAAAGUACUUUCAGCGGGGAGGAAGGGAGUAAAGUUAAUACCUUUGCUCAUUGACGUUACCCGCAGAAGAAGCACCGGCUAACUCCGUGCCAGCAGCCGCCGUAA